This 1324-nucleotide ribosomal RNA is filed under the name Cytospora auerswaldii. RNAcentral's name for it is "eukaryotic LSU rRNA". It matches the Rfam family "Eukaryotic large subunit ribosomal RNA", at positions 56 to 1409 of the family's 3401-position model. Lineage: Eukaryota; Fungi; Ascomycota; Sordariomycetes; Diaporthales; Cytosporaceae. The record is from RNAcentral.
GAAAAGAAACCAACAGGGAUUGCCCUAGUAACGGCGAGUGAAGCGGCAACAGCUCAAAUUUGAAAGCUGGCUCCGGCCCGCGUUGUAAUUUGCAGAGGAUGCUUUUGGCGAGGUGCCUUCCGAGUUCCCUGGAACGGGACGCCAUAGAGGGUGAGAGCCCCGUAUGGAUGGACACCAGACCUGUGUAAAGCUCCUUCAACGAGUCGAGUAGUUUGGGAAUGCUGCUCUAAAUGGGAGGUAAAUCUCUUCUAAAGCUAAAUACCGGCCAGAGACCGAUAGCGCACAAGUAGAGUGAUCGAAAGAUGAAAAGCACCUUGAAAAGGGGGUUAAACAGUACGUGAAAUUGUUGAAAGGGAAGCAUUUAUGACCAGACUUGCGCCGGGCAGCUCAUCAGGGGUUCUCCCCUGUGCACUCUGCCCGGCUCAGGCCAGCAUCGGUUCUCGCGGGGGGAUAAGAACAGCGGGAACGUGGCCCCCCUCCGGGGGGGUGUUAUAGCCCGCUGUACGAUACUCUCGUGGGGACCGAGGUUCGCGCUCCGCAAGGAUGCUGGCGUAAUGGUCAUCAAUGACCCGUCUUGAAACACGGACCAAGGAGUCGUCCAUUAGAGCGAGCGUUUGGGUGUAAAACCCGCACGCGUAAUGAAAGUGAACGCAGGUGAGAGCUUCGGCGCAUCAUCGACCGAUCCUGAUGUCUUCGGAUGGAUUUGAGUAAGAGUUUUAACGGACGGACCCGAAAGACAGUGAACUAUGCUUGUAUAGGGUGAAGCCAGAGGAAACUCUGGUGGAGGCUCGCAGCGGUUCUGACGUGCAAAUCGAUCGUCAAAUAUGAGCAUGGGGGCGAAAGACUAAUCGAACUGUCUAGUAGCUGGUUACCGCCGAAGUUUCCCUCAGGAUAGCAGUGUUGUUCUUCAGUUUUAUGAGGUAAAGCGAAUGAUUAGGGACUCGGGGGCGCUUAUUAGCCUUCAUCCAUUCUCAAACUUUAAAUAUGUAAGAAGCCCUUGUUACUUAAUUGAACGUGGGCAUUCGAAUGUACCAACACUAGUGGGCCAUUUUUGGUAAGCAGAACUGGCGAUGCGGGAUGAACCGAACGCGGGGUUAAGGCGCCAGAGUGUACGCUCAUCAGACACCACAAAAGGCGUUAGUACAUCUUGACAGCAGGACGGUGGCCAUGGAAGUCGGAAUCCGCUAAGGACUGUGUAACAACUCACCUGCCGAAUGUACUAGCCCUGAAAAUGGAUGGCGCUCAAGCGUACCGCCCAUACCCCGCCCUCAGGGUAGAAACGAUGCCCUGAGGAGUAGGCGGCCGUGGGGGUCAGUGACGAAGC